AACGAGCGAGAGAGAGCUUGCUUUCUCGAGCGAGUGGCGAACGGGUGAGUAACGCGUGAGGAACCUGCCUCAAAGAGGGGGACAACAGUUGGAAACGACUGCUAAUACCGCAUAAGCCCACAGGUCGGCAUCGACCAGGGGGAAAAGGAGCAAUCCGCUUUGAGAUGGCCUCGCGUCCGAUUAGCUAGUUGGUGAGGUAAUGGCCCACCAAGGCAACGAUCGGUAGCCGGACUGAGAGGUUGAACGGCCACAUUGGGACUGAGACACGGCCCAGACUCCUACGGGAGGCAGCAGUGGGGAAUAUUGCACAAUGGGGGAAACCCUGAUGCAGCGACGCCGCGUGGAGGAAGAAGGUCUUCGGAUUGUAAACUCCUGUUGUUGAGGAAGAUAAUGACGGUACUCAACAAGGAAGUGACGGCUAACUACGUGCCAGCAGCCGCGGUAAAACGUAGGUCACAAGCGUUGUCCGGAAUUACUGGGUGUAAAGGGAGCGCAGGCGGGAAGACAAGUUGGAGGUGAAAUCUAUGGGCUCAACCCAUAAACUGCUUUCAAAACUGUUUUUCUUGAGUAGUGCAGAGGUAGGCGGAAUUCCCGGUGUAGCGGUGGAAUGCGUAGAUAUCGGGAGGAACACCAGUGGCGAAGGCGGCCUACUGGGCACCAACUGA
This 665-nucleotide ribosomal RNA is filed under the name uncultured Lachnospiraceae bacterium. RNAcentral describes it as "bacterial SSU rRNA". It matches the Rfam family "Bacterial small subunit ribosomal RNA", at positions 65 to 743 of the family's 1533-position model. Lineage: Bacteria; Bacillati; Bacillota; Clostridia; Lachnospirales; Lachnospiraceae. The record is from RNAcentral.